Molecule: long non-coding RNA, 1052 nt
Organism: Carya illinoinensis
Lineage: Eukaryota; Viridiplantae; Streptophyta; Magnoliopsida; Fagales; Juglandaceae
Exons: 2
Source: RefSeq, a predicted model, not a curated record
GUAAUGUUUUUAUUUCACUUUUACUUAUUUUUAUUGUGUCUUUUACUUUGUUGGACCCUUUAUUUUCGAACUGGGUUUGUUUUGAGUGUGUUUUAUUUCAUUUUUGGCCCAGCCCGUUUGGAAUUAGAAGCCCAGCCCAUUGCACCAGCGCAGCCCUCUCUUUUUCCCCUUAACGGCAUCGUAUUGGCCAUCAGCCCUUAGGGUUUUAAUUCUUUCAUUUCUUCUUCCUCCAGCCGCACACUUCCUACUUUCUUUCUUCUUCUUCUUCAUUUAUUUCCUUUUCUUCUCCCCGGCCGCACGACAGCUUCUCCUUCUCCUUCUCCAUUUCUUUCAGUUUCUUCUUUCUUUUCUUCCCCCUUGUUGCGCCGCUGCUUCCUUCUUGUUCUUCUUUGGUUUUUCUUUUCUCUUCAUUCUCUUGCGCCGGUUGCUUCUCUUCUUAUGGUCCAUGCCGUGAAGCUCCAUGCUCGGGAUCUCCUCUCUUCAGUUUCCUCUCUUGUUUUUCCUUAGUAUUUUCGUGAUUCAUUUCGUGUUUUGCUUGUUUUUGGUUCUUGCUGUGACUGCCAUCCCCAGCCCUCCAUCGAAGCUUCCCCUCUCCCCUGCUGUUGAUGUGCUCCGUCCCCUCACAAUAGUCAACAAACGAAGAAUAAAAAGCAACGGAACGUAAUUUAGGAUUACAAGCAGGGGUAAAAUUGAAAAAAAAAAUAUUAGACGAAAACAUUGUAGAAAGUGAAUUCGCACUUUAUAUAUAAGUAUAGAUAAUAUAUAUGAAGUAACAUUCUGUUGGGUUUUGCUCUUUGCUUUGUCUCAUGUUGGCUGAGAGUGAAGGAAGAUGAAGGCCUAAGGCCUAUAAAAUGAGGUUAAUCUUUUUGAUAAAGUGUACCAGUUAAAAAUCUAUCUAAUAAUUUUUUAUUUUAGUUAAAAUACUAUGUUGGCCUUUUUUGUAAAAGGGGAAGAGGUAUGAGUUAAAAUUUUGGGAUUGUAUUUGAAGUGAAGAGAAAAAUUAUGUGAUUGUAAUAAUUUUUUACAUAGUAAAUUUUCUUCUAUGAUCUGUG